AACCGAAGCUGUCUUGUGAAAUGGAGGGGUCCUCACUAACCAGUUCCAGCGGAGGCUAACGGAAGAAGUGCCAGCAAUGGAUGUGCAGCUACAUGCACGCUUUUAAUUCAGAGCUUCUGCGACGGUGGCGAUCAGGGGAUCUGUAAUGUAAUGUAAUGUCAAGGCUGACGCAGAGCUGAUCAAACAUUUUGGCAACCUUAGUCUUGAAUUGAUUCACACUUUCUCCGCGUUGCCUCCGGAGUUUGCUGUAGGGGAAUGAAUAUUGCCUGGGUCCAUACUUCUCUUUCCUCAGAGUCUGGUGGACUUGGUUCUGCCUCAGCUUCCCUUGCAGACUUUUCUGCAAGAGAACGGAAAGCCCAGAAGAUGGAUGUGUGUAUGCCUGGUGACAAGGGCAGGGGAUGUAUGAUGUGGGCAGGUGCCUGUUUAAUUUCUAGGAGAGCAAAGAUUCUAGGGAAGCUUUGGAGUGAGUUCAAAGGGUAGAGAACUGGGGAGAAACUAAAGCCAAGAGGAUCUAGUACAAAUGUGGGAAGCUUGGCAAAGCCCGGGUGAAACAGAAAAUAAGUGUGAUUUGUGGAUCUGUUUAAAAUUAUUAUUAUAGUUACAAUUUACCAAAUACUCUGUUCCCAGUACUUUACUAUAAAGUGCGUUAUGUACGGUAUGGUUUUGUUUUUCACAAUGUCCUUAUCUUACAUUGUGUAACUUGCUCCUGGAAUGACUGUGCAUCCCCUGAAUAGAAAACAUACUUAGUUCUGUCCCUGCAGGGCAGAGUAGGGCUCAAUACACAUCUUUGAGCC
This 794-nucleotide non-coding RNA is filed under the name Pongo abelii (Sumatran orangutan). Lineage: Eukaryota; Metazoa; Chordata; Mammalia; Primates; Hominidae. The record is from RNAcentral.